Molecule: ribosomal RNA, 617 nt
Filed under: uncultured Fusobacterium sp.
Lineage: Bacteria; Fusobacteriati; Fusobacteriota; Fusobacteriia; Fusobacteriales; Fusobacteriaceae
Description: partial 16S ribosomal RNA
Rfam family: Bacterial small subunit ribosomal RNA (bases 9-536)
Source: RNAcentral
GACGAACGCUGGCGGCGUGCUUAACACAUGCAAGUCGAACGCUGAAGCCCAGCUUGCUGGGUGGAUGAGUGGCGAACGGGUGAGUAACACGUGAGUAACCUGCCCCCUUCUUUGGGAUAACGCCCGGAAACGGGUGCUAAUACUGGAUAUUCACUGGCCUUCGCAUGGGGGUUGGUGGAAAGGUUUUUUCUGGUGGGGGAUGGGCUCGCGGCCUAUCAGCUUGUUGGUGGGGUGAUGGCCUACCAAGGCUUUGACGGGUAGCCGGCCUGAGAGGGUGACCGUUCACUUUGGGACUGAGAUACGGCCCAGACUCCUACGGGAGGCAGCUGUGGGUAAUAUUGCACAAUGGGCGAAAGCCUGAUGCAGCGACGCCGCGGGAGGGAUGACGGCCUUCGGGUUGUAAACCUCUUUCGCUCAUGGUCAAGCCGCAGCUUUGGGUUGUGGUGAGGUUAGUGGGUAAAUAAGCCCCGCCUAUUCAUUUUGUCUGUGUUUUUUUCUCUUGUCGGUUUGGAUUGUUGCACAGAUUUUGGGGUUUGAUUUUUUGAUUCUUUGUGUCUACCCUCUCGUCAUCUGCUAUCUUAUGUUUUUGUUUUCCUCUAUUUGUUUUUUUUUUUUGU